Long non-coding RNA from Setaria italica (foxtail millet), 852 nucleotides. RefSeq lists it as uncharacterized. The transcript is spliced from 2 exons. NCBI's taxonomy places the organism in Eukaryota, Viridiplantae, Streptophyta, Magnoliopsida, Poales, Poaceae. The record is from RefSeq and is a predicted model, not a curated record.
GCCCGCCACACGGAACCGCCGCGCGGGGCCCACCCGCGCAGAGAGAGGGAGAGGCUAGACGAGGCGUAGGGAUGGGUCGAAGAGGGGCGAGGUGGAGGAUUCCUGAAAAGGAAAGGGGAGUAGGGGGGUGAGGAGGGUGGGUGGCGCAUGGCCGCACCAGAACAGUACAGCCUGUAGCAGGCGGCCGCGUGCGCGGUGACGGUGCUUCUCUGCUGGCUUGGCCUGCCGCGGCCGCAGCCGCAGCGGCAGCGCGUCGGGGGGAAAUCAAGGAGAAAGCCGACGGAGGAGGGGAAGAAAAGGAAAGGGAGAGAAAGGUGGAGAUGCUGUGCCUGCGCGUGGAGGAUUGGGGGUGGCUUGGAUUGGAUCGGCCGCACGGCACGGCCGCGUACUGCUGCAGCUGCCCGGAUUCGCUGUUCCGGCACCGACCCUGUGGCGCCCCGGUGUGCCGCGCGCCGCCCCGCGCUCACGCGGUCGCGGUGGGUGGGUUUGGCUUCCCGUCCCGCAUCUCGUGCUGAUUUUGCUCUGGGUUUAGCCAGCGGUACGGUGCGUGGUGAUUUCGGUCUUCACUUCUUCAGAUGGUGGCUUUUCAGGAUCAGAGCCCGACUACGACUUCGACAAUGAUGGAUGGGAAGACUAGGGAUGGUCCCUCACUCAAGUCGCCUCUGGAGAUGGUGUUCACCGUAGCUUAUGUUUCCGCUACGUAAAUGUUGUAUGUACCAUGAUUUAGUCCUGAUGGACUUGUACCGGUACGUGACGAAGCGUUGUACUCGAUAUUUUUGAUAUUGUUACUCUGUUGCUACUUUAUAUUUCUGUGUUGGUAUGGAUUUGUACUAUCUGAGAUAGGGAUUCGCA